UGUCCUCCAUCGGAGGUCUAGAUUGAGCAGAUUCUUUUUGGUGCUGGGUGGUAGAACUGGAGCUUGCUCUAUCCACUCCAUGCAUUGACCUGGUUUUGCAGUGCUUCCAGGACCGGUGC
Small nuclear RNA from Crocodylus porosus (Australian saltwater crocodile), 119 nucleotides. Its record names the gene U2. It matches the Rfam family "U2 spliceosomal RNA". Rfam says of the family: U2 is a small nuclear RNA (snRNA) component of the spliceosome (involved in pre-mRNA splicing). Lineage: Eukaryota; Metazoa; Chordata; Crocodylia; Crocodylidae. The record is from Ensembl.